GCAGUCGAACGAUGAACCUCCUUCGGGAGGGGAUUAGUGGCGAACGGGUGAGUAACACGUGGGCAAUCUGCCCUGCACUCUGGGACAAGCCCUGGAAACGGGGUCUAAUACCGGAUACUGACCCGCUUGGGCAUCCAAGCGGUUCGAAAGCUCCGGCGGUGCAGGAUGAGCCCGCGGCCUAUCAGCUUGUUGGUGAGGUAAUGGCUCACCAAGGCGACGACGGGUAGCCGGCCUGAGAGGGCGACCGGCCACACUGGGACUGAGACACGGCCCAGACUCCUACGGGAGGCAGCAGUGGGGAAUAUUGCACAAUGGGCGAAAGCCUGAUGCAGCGACGCCGCGUGAGGGAUGACGGCCUUCGGGUUGUAAACCUCUUUCAGCAGGGAAGAAGCGAAAGUGACGGUACCUGCAGAAGAAGCGCCGGCUAACUACGUGCCAGCAGCCGCGGUAAUACGUAGGGCGCGAGCGUUGUCCGGAAUUAUUGGGCGUAAAGAGCUCGUAGGCGGCUUGUCACGUCGGUUGUGAAAGCCCGGGGCUUAACCCCGGGUCUGCAGUCGAUACGGGCAGGCUAGAGUUCGGUAGGGGAGAUCGGAAUUCCUGGUGUAGCGGUGAAAUGCGCAGAUAUCAGGAGGAACACCGGUGGCGAAGGCGGAUCUCUGGGCCGAUACUGACGCUGAGGAGCGAAAGCGUGGGGAGCGAACAGGAUUAGAUACCCUGGUAGUCCACGCCGUAAACGGUGGGCACUAGGUGUGGGCGACAUUCCACGUCGUCCGUGCCGCAGCUAACGCAUUAAGUGC
Molecule: ribosomal RNA, 797 nt
Filed under: Streptomyces sp.
Lineage: Bacteria; Bacillati; Actinomycetota; Actinomycetes; Kitasatosporales; Streptomycetaceae
Description: bacterial SSU rRNA
Rfam family: Bacterial small subunit ribosomal RNA
Source: RNAcentral